Molecule: ribosomal RNA, 400 nt
Filed under: uncultured bacterium
Lineage: Bacteria
Description: bacterial SSU rRNA
Rfam family: Bacterial small subunit ribosomal RNA
Source: RNAcentral
GGGGAAUAUUGGACAAUGGGCGAAAGCCUGAUCCAGCAAUACCGCGUGAAUGAUGAAGGCCUUAGGGUUGUAAAGUUCUUUUAGUUGGAAAGAUAAUGACGGUACCAACAGAAAAAGCCCCGGCUAACUCCGUGCCAGCAGCCGCGGUAAGACGGAGGGGGCUAGCGUUGUUCGGAAUUACUGGGCGUAAAGAGCGCGUAGGCGGAUUAGUAAGUUGGGAGUGAAAGCCCGGGGCUUAACCUCGGAACUGCUUUCAAAACUGCUAGUCUUGAGUGAAGUAGGGGAUGAUGGAAUUCCUAGUGUAGAGGUGAAAUUCUUAGAUAUUAGGAGGAACACCGGUGGCGAAGGCGGUCAUCUGGACUUCAACUGACGCUGAGGCGCGAAAGCGUGGGGAGCAAAC